Molecule: ribosomal RNA, 468 nt
Filed under: uncultured bacterium
Lineage: Bacteria
Description: partial 16S ribosomal RNA
Rfam family: Bacterial small subunit ribosomal RNA
Source: RNAcentral
GAUGAACGCUGGCGGCGUGCUUAACACAUGCAAGUCGAACGGAAAGGCCAGUGCUUGCACUGGUACUCGAGUGGCGAACGGGUGAGUAACACGUGGGUGAUCUGCCCUGUACUUCGGGAUAAGCUUGGGAAACUGGGUCUAAUACCGGAUAGGACAACUUUUUGGAUAUUGUUGUGGAAAGCUUUUGCGGUAUGGGAUGAGCUCGCGGCCUAUCAGCUUGUUGGUGGGGUAAUGGCCUACCAAGGCGUCGACGGGUAGCCGGCCUGAGAAGGUGUACGGCCACAUUGGGACUGAGAUACGGCCCAGACUCCUACGGGAGGCAGCAGUGGGGAAUAUUGCACAAUGGGCGCAAGCCUGAUGCAGCGACGCCGCGUGGGGGAUGAAGGCCUUCGGGUUGUAAACUCCUUUCGCUAGGGACGAAGCUUUUUUGUGACGGUACCUGGAGAAGAAGCACCGGCUAACUACGUG